GAUGAACGCUGGCGGCGUGCCUAAUACAUGCAAGUCGAGCGAACUUUUGGGAGCUUGCUCCCAAAAGUUAGCGGCGGACGGGUGAGUAACACGUGGGUAACCUGCCUGUAAGACUGGGAUAACUUCGGGAAACCGGAGCUAAUACCGGAUAACAUCGAAGAACACAUGGCCUUCAAUUAAAAGGUGGCUCUUAGCUACCACUUACAGAUGGACCCGCGGCGCAUUAGCUAGUUGGUUAGGUAACGGCUCACCAAGGCGACGAUGCGUAGCCGACCUGAGAGGGUGGACGGCCAAAAUUGGACUGAGACACGGCCCAGACCUCUUAGGGAGGGAGCAGUAGGGAAUCUUCCGAAAAUGAGGAAAGGCUGGCGGAGCAAAGCCGGGUGAGCUAAGAAGGGCCUCGGGUCGUAAAGGUCUGUUGUUAGGGGAGAAAAAGUGUCGUUCGAAUAGGGCGGUACCUUGACGGUACCUAACCAGAAAGCCACGGCUAACUACGUG
RNAcentral lists this ribosomal RNA (498 nucleotides) under uncultured bacterium. RNAcentral describes it as "partial 16S ribosomal RNA". It matches the Rfam family "Bacterial small subunit ribosomal RNA", at positions 28 to 507 of the family's 1533-position model. The record is from RNAcentral.